RNAcentral lists this ribosomal RNA (167 nucleotides) under uncultured bacterium. Its description in RNAcentral is "partial 16S ribosomal RNA". It matches the Rfam family "Bacterial small subunit ribosomal RNA", at positions 1334 to 1500 of the family's 1533-position model. The record is from RNAcentral.
GCUAGUAAUCGCGGAUCAGCAUGCCGCGGUGAAUACGUUCCCGGGCCUUGUACACACCGCCCGUCACACCAUGGGAGUCGGUAACACCCGAAGCCUGUAGUCUAACCGCAAGGAGGACGCAGUCGAAGGUGGGAUUGAUGACUGGGGUGAAGUCGUAACAAGGUACC